Meleagrid alphaherpesvirus 1 (Turkey herpesvirus) is the source of this 79-nucleotide microRNA precursor. It matches the Rfam family "mir-221 microRNA precursor family". NCBI's taxonomy places the organism in Duplodnaviria, Heunggongvirae, Peploviricota, Herviviricetes, Herpesvirales, Orthoherpesviridae. The record is from Rfam.
GCACGGACUCAUUCAGCGGGCAAUGUAGACUGUGUACCAAGUGACAGCUACAUUGCCCGCUGGGUUUCUGGCUGUCUGG